RNAcentral lists this long non-coding RNA (1722 nucleotides) under Homo sapiens (human). RNAcentral's name for it is "HSALNT0389811". The record is from RNAcentral. Lineage: Eukaryota; Metazoa; Chordata; Mammalia; Primates; Hominidae.
AGGCAACAAUCUCAGCGCCUGGGAGUCAGGGCUGCGCACUCCACUCUGGCCAGAACACAAACGGCAUUGGCACUUCUCACUCUCUCAUCCAGGCUGGAGUACGGUGGUGCAAUCUCGGCUCACUGCAGCCUCCGCCUCCCAGGUUCAAAUGAUUCCGAUGCCUCAGCCUCCUGAGUAGCUGGAUUACAGAAUCCCCACUGGGAUGUGGCAGAUGAGCAGAUAAACCUGCACGUGAUCUGGUCAACCACAGUUACCUUUUCAGAAGGCUGACUAUGGAAAUCCAGAUGGAGUCUCGCUCUGUCACCAGACUGGAAUGCAGUGGCAUAGUCUCGGCUCACUGCAACUUCUGCCUCCCUGGUUCAAGCAAUUCUCCUGCCUCCCUGGUUCAAGCGAUUCUCCUGCCUCAGUCUCCCAAGUAGCUGGAAUUACAGGCGCCCACCACCACACCUGACUACUUUUUGUAUUUUUAGUAGAGAUGGGGUUUCACCAUGUUGGCCAGGCUGGUUUCAAACUCCUGACCUCAGGUGAUAUGCCUGCCUCGGCCUCCCAAAAGUCUGGGAUUACAGGCAUGAGCCACCGCGCCCGGCCUGAAUAUGUUUCCUUGUUUAUGGUCUUCGUUCUGCUGCUAGAUAACCUCCACACAGGAAGUUCAAGCAACGGGUGAUGCAAUGUAUAAUACAUAUCUAUAUAUAGAGUGCAAGAAUAGUCACUAAAUCAUCCAUAGAGGUUAAUCUCUAGAUGAGAGAUGUUGUGUGGUAUCUGUUUUUUUGUUUUCUUUUCUUUUGUUUUUGAGACAGAGUUUCACUCUUGUUGCCCAGGCUGGAGUGCAAUGGCACGAUUUCAGCUCACCACAACUUCCACCUCUCGGGUUCAAGCAAUUCUCCUGCCUCAGCCUUCCCGAGUAGCUGGGAUUACAGGCAUGCGCCACCAUGCCAGGCUAAUUUUGUAUUUUCAGUAGAGGUGGGGUUUCUCCACGUUGGUCAGGCUGGUCUUGAACUCCCGACCUCAGGUGAUCUGCCUGCCUCAGCCUCCCAAAGUGCUGGGAUUAUAGGUGUGAGCCACCACGCCCGACCUUCCUUUUUUUUUUUUUUUUGAGACUGAGUCUCACCCUAUUGCCCAGGCUGGAGUGUGGUGGCGUGGUCUCAGCUCACUGCAAUCUCCACCUCCUGGGUUCAAGUGAUUCUCAUGCCUCAGCCUCCCGAGUACCUGCGAUUACAAGUGCCUGCCACCACACCUAAUUUUUGUAUUUUUUGUAGAGAUAGGGUUUCACCAUGUUGGCCAGGCUGGUCUGGAACUCCUGACCUCAAAUGAUCCGCCUGCCUUGGCCUCCCAAAGUUCUGGGAUUACAGGCAUGACCCACCGUACCCAGCCUGUUUUCUUUUUUAUGCCUUUAUGUGUCUUCUGAAAAUUUUAUAAUAAAUAUGUAAUACUUCUAAACUCAGAAAGCAAUAAAACCAUCUCUGUCAUGAAAAACAAAAUUUUACCUAAUUUUGUUUGAUCUAAGCUUGUAUUAAAAAGAAUUUGUUUUCUUCAAUUUGAUAUUUGGGGUUAGUGGUAGAUGUGUUUUCUGUAUGACUGAAGAAUCCAGCCCAAGGUUUACAUCUGCCCUGGAAAAUGCUCAAACUGCUCUCACUGAAUGGUAAUUGUGUGGGUUUUCACACAAGAGAGAUAACACACGCAGGUAUGCACACACACACACACACACACACACACACACACACA